This 311-nucleotide unclassified non-coding RNA is filed under the name uncultured fungus. Its description in RNAcentral is "partial contains small subunit ribosomal RNA, internal transcribed spacer 1, and 5.8S ribosomal RNA". The stretch from base 1 to 73 matches the Rfam family "Eukaryotic small subunit ribosomal RNA", at positions 1759 to 1831 of the family's 1831-position model. Lineage: Eukaryota; Fungi. The record is from RNAcentral.
GCAAACUUGGUCAUUUAGAGGAAGUAAAAGUCGUAACAAGGUUUCCGUAGGUGAACCUGCGGAAGGAUCAUUAUGAUAUCGAGGGAAACCCGCGUCCGGGUCCGAGCGAUCGGAUCCAGACGCGGGGAGCUCUCCAGACACCCUGUGUACCCUUACCUUUGUUGCUUCCCGUCCGGCUCGCGCCGGGCGGGGAGGUCUUCAUAAACUCCUGUAUUUCUUUGCAGUCAGUAUGAGCGGAUAAUCCGCGAUAAAUAAAAGUUAAAACUUUCAACAACGGAUCUCUUGGUUCUCGCAUCGAUGAAGAACGCAGC